This 407-nucleotide ribosomal RNA is filed under the name uncultured bacterium. RNAcentral describes it as "bacterial SSU rRNA". It matches the Rfam family "Bacterial small subunit ribosomal RNA", at positions 355 to 774 of the family's 1533-position model. The record is from RNAcentral.
UGGGGAAUAUUGCACAAUGGGCGAAAGCCUGAUGCAGCGACGCCGCGUGAGGGACGAAGGUCUUCGGAUUGUAAACCUCUUUCAGCAGGGACGAAGCGAAAGUGACUGUACCUGCAGAAGAAGCACCGGCUAACUACGUGCCAGCAGCCGCGGUAAUACGUAGGGUGCAAGCGUUGUCCGGAUUUAUUGGGCGUAAAGAGCUCGUAGGCGGUUCGUCACGUCGGAUGUGAAAACCUGGGGCUUAACCCCGGGCCUGCAUACGAUACGGGAGAACUAGAGUUCGGUAGGGGAGACUGGAAUUCCAGGUGUAGCGGUGAAAUGCGCAGAUAUCAGGAGGAACACCGGUGGCGAAGGCGGGUCUCUGGGCCGAUACUGACGCUGAGGAGCGAAAGCGUGGGGAGCAAACA